UAACUAAAGACAGGUGUGCUGAAGUGAGCCACAGGGUUACAGUCUGCGUAUUUGGUUAAUCUUGGUUUUAUUGUUUGAUGGCGUCAUUUAAUACCCAGUUGAUUAGACCUUUGUUUUUGUAAAGGCCUGUUUAUUUGGGGAAUGUUUGCUGGGGGAUUUUUUGUUUUCAUUUUUUUUAACGCAACAGUCAAGACAAGUCAGUUCACAGUGUCAUCCUGUAAAUCAACUGAAGCGCCCUGGAUCACCGAACAUGGAGUACGACGUCCAGGGGUCCUUGAGGGAGUUCCAGGAGGUCCCCGGAAAAAUGCAGAAGGUUAAACGAGGUGACCCAACAGGAACAGUGUAGGCGGGACAUCAGAGCAGCUCUGCACUAUCACACAUGAUCAGAGCAGAGGAUUCUGGUAAGAGACGGAGAUGAACUAGGUGAAUAAGGACUGGUGUGACAGUGUCUUGUCCGAGGUGGCUACAGAGCAGCGCGGCCCGUGUUUGGAAGGAGCGACCAUGCGGCCAUCUUGUUGAGGGUCCGGAUGUUUGGACAGUUUAAUCAUUCCACAGCCAGAAACCAUGGAUUACCAGAACCAUCUGGAAUAAAAAAGGACUAAAUCAGUGAUUCCCAACUGGUCCAGCCACGGGGUCUGGAUUUCUCCUCUGUCAUUAGUUCAAGGUCCACACAGUAGAAGACAUUUAGUGUCAUACUUGUGUUUGAACGUGUCGUUAAGCUAGUUUGCUGUCUCUGUGAAGUAGCUUUCCAUUGGUCAGUUCCUCUACAAUAGGAAAUGGGACUUCAGAAUAAAAGCUGUGUGCCAGAAAUUCAGUGUACUUCAAAAUAA
Long non-coding RNA from Epinephelus lanceolatus (giant grouper), 830 nucleotides. RefSeq lists it as uncharacterized. The record is from RefSeq and is a predicted model, not a curated record. NCBI's taxonomy places the organism in Eukaryota, Metazoa, Chordata, Actinopteri, Perciformes, Serranidae.